This 238-nucleotide ribosomal RNA is filed under the name uncultured bacterium. RNAcentral describes it as "partial 16S ribosomal RNA". It matches the Rfam family "Bacterial small subunit ribosomal RNA", at positions 96 to 334 of the family's 1533-position model. The record is from RNAcentral.
CGGCGGACGGGUGAGUAACGCGUGGGUAACCUACCCUGUACACACGGAUAACAUACCGAAAGGUAUGCUAAUACGGGAUAAUAUAUUUGAGAGGCAUCUCUUGAAUAUCAAAGGUGGGCCAGUACAGGAUGGACCCGCGUCUGAUUAGCUAGUUGGUAAGGUGACGGCUUACCAAGGCGACGAUCAGUAGCCGACCUGAGAGGGUGAUCGGCCACAUUGGAACUGAGACACGGUCCAA